AACGCGAAGAACCUUACCAAGGCUUGACAUGUCGGAAGUAGCGACUCGAAAGGGAAGCCACCUGUUGAGUCAGGAACCGUCACAGGUGCUGCAUGGCUGUCGUCAGCUCGUGCUGUGAAGUGUUAGGUUAAGUCCUGUAACGAGCGCAACCCUCGUUGCCAGUUGUUUUCUCUGGCGAGACUGCCCUGCAAAAUGGGGAGGAAGGUGGGGAUGACGUCAAGUCAGCACGGCCCUUAUGCCUUGGGCUACACACACGCUACAAUGGGUGGUACAAUGGGUAGCAAUAGAGCAAUCUGGAGCCAAUCCUAAAAGCCAUCCUCAGUUCAGAUUGCAGGCUGAAACUCGCCUGCAUGAAGUUGGAGUUGCUAGUAACCGCAGGUCAGCAUACUGUGGUGAAUACGUUCUCGGGCCUUGUACACACCGCCCGUCACGUCAUGAAAGUCGGCAACACCUCAAGUCGAUGGGCUAACCCCGGUUCUCCGGGGAGGCAGUCGCCGAGGGUGGGGUUGAUGAUUGGGACGAAGUCGUAACAAGGUAACCUUAAUUAAAA
This 550-nucleotide ribosomal RNA is filed under the name uncultured bacterium. Its description in RNAcentral is "bacterial SSU rRNA". It matches the Rfam family "Bacterial small subunit ribosomal RNA", at positions 958 to 1511 of the family's 1533-position model. The record is from RNAcentral.